This is a non-coding RNA of Triticum aestivum (bread wheat), 134 nucleotides long. NCBI's taxonomy places the organism in Eukaryota, Viridiplantae, Streptophyta, Magnoliopsida, Poales, Poaceae. The record is from Rfam.
UAAGUACUCCCUUCGUCCGAAAAUACUUCUCAUCAAAAUGGAUAAAUGAAGAUGUAUCUCAAACUAAAUUAAGUCUAGAUACAUCCCCUUUAUUCAUUUUGAUGACAAGAAUUUCCGGACGGAGGAAAUAUUUU